This 561-nucleotide ribosomal RNA is filed under the name uncultured bacterium. RNAcentral describes it as "partial 16S ribosomal RNA". It matches the Rfam family "Bacterial small subunit ribosomal RNA", at positions 355 to 1375 of the family's 1533-position model. The record is from RNAcentral.
UGGGGAAUAUUGCACAAUGGGCGAAAGCCUGAUGCAGCAACGCCGCGUGAGUGAUGAAGGCCUUCGGGUUGUAAAGCUCUGUCUUUUGGGACGAUAAUGACGGUACCAAAGGAGGAAGCCACGGCUAACUACGUGCCAGCAGCCGCGGUAAUACGUAGGUGGCAAGCGUUGUCCGGAUUUACUGGGCGUAAAGGAUGCGUAGGCGGAUUUUUAAGUGAGAUGUGAAAACCCUAAGCUUAACUUGGGACUGCAUUUCAUACUGGAAAUCUAGAGUGCGGGAGAGGAGAAUGGAAUUCCUAGUGUAGCGGUGAAAUGCGUAGAGAUUAGGAAGAACACCAGUGGCGAAGGCGAUUCUNUGGACCGUAACUGACGCUGAGGCAUGAAAGCGUGGGUAGCAAACAGGAUUAGAUACCCUGGUAGUCCACGCCGUAAACGAUGAGUACUAGGUGUAGGAGGUAUCGACCCCUUCUGUGCCGCAGUUAACACAAUAAGUACUCCGCCUGGGAAGUACGAUCGCAAGAUUAAAACUUAAAUGAUUGACGGGGUCAUAGCUGUUUUCCU